RNAcentral lists this transfer RNA (75 nucleotides) under Cordylochernes scorpioides. RNAcentral describes it as "tRNA-Thr". The stretch from base 8 to 67 matches the Rfam family "tRNA", at positions 7 to 64 of the family's 71-position model. Rfam says of the family: Transfer RNA (tRNA) molecules are approximately 80 nucleotides in length. Lineage: Eukaryota; Metazoa; Arthropoda; Arachnida; Pseudoscorpiones; Chernetidae. The record is from RNAcentral.
GCUUAUCGUAGCCUAGUCGACAUGACAUCUGCCCGGUAAGCAGAACACUGUGGGUUCGAUUCCCAUCCCUGGACA